RNAcentral lists this ribosomal RNA (253 nucleotides) under uncultured bacterium. RNAcentral's name for it is "partial 16S ribosomal RNA". It matches the Rfam family "Bacterial small subunit ribosomal RNA", at positions 524 to 776 of the family's 1533-position model. The record is from RNAcentral.
UACGGAGGCGGCUAGCGUUGUUCGGCAUUACUGGGCGUAAAGCGCACGUCGGCGGAUUGUUAAGUCGGGGGUGAAAUCCCGGGGCUCAACCCCGGAAUGGCCUCCGAUACUGGCAAUCUUGAGGUCGGGAGAGGUGAGUGGAAUGGCGAGUGUAGAGGUGAAAUUCGUAGAUAUUCGCCGGAACACCAGUGGCGAAGGCGCCUCACUGGCCCGAUACUGACGCUGAGGUGCGACAGCGUGGGGAGCAAACAGG